AUUGAACGCUGGCGGCAGGCCUAACACAUGCAAGUCGAGCGGGGUUUUCGGACCUAGCGGCGGACGGGUGAGUAAUGCGUAGGAAGCUACCCGAUAGAGGGGGAUACCAGUUGGAAACGACUGUUAAUACCGCAUAAUGUCUACGGACCAAAGUGUGGGACCUUCGGGCCACAUGCUAUCGGAUGCGCCUACGUGGGAUUAGCUAGUUGGUGGGGUAAUGGCUCACCAAGGCGACGAUCCCUAGCUGGUUUGAGAGGAUGAUCAGCCACACUGGAACUGAGACACGGUCCAGACUCCUACGGGAGGCAGCAGUGGGGAAUAUUGGACAAUGGGCGCAAGCCUGAUCCAGCCAUGCCGCGUGUGUGAAGAAGGCCUUCGGGUUGUAAAGCACUUUCAGUAGGGAGGAAGAGUUGAGUGUUAAUAGUACUCAGCUUUGACGUUACCUACAGAAGAAGCACCGGCUAACUCUGUGCCAGCAGCCGCAGUAA
Molecule: ribosomal RNA, 488 nt
Filed under: uncultured bacterium
Lineage: Bacteria
Description: partial 16S ribosomal RNA
Rfam family: Bacterial small subunit ribosomal RNA
Source: RNAcentral